UACAGAGGGUGCGAGCGUUGUCCGGAAUCACUGGGCGUAAAGGGCGCGUAGGCGGCCUGAUAAGUAGGGGGUGAAAUCUUGCGGCUCAACCGCAAGGCUGCCUUCUAAACUGUCAGGCUGGAGCACGGUAGAGGCAGAUGGAAUUCCUGGUGUAGCGGUGAAAUGCGCAGAUAUCAGGAGGAACACCGGUGGCGAAGGCGGGUCUCUGGGCCGAUACUGACGCUGAGGAGCGAAAGCGUGGGGAGCGAACAGG
Molecule: ribosomal RNA, 253 nt
Filed under: uncultured bacterium
Lineage: Bacteria
Description: partial 16S ribosomal RNA
Rfam family: Bacterial small subunit ribosomal RNA
Source: RNAcentral